Long non-coding RNA from Oncorhynchus keta (chum salmon), 501 nucleotides. RefSeq lists it as uncharacterized. The record is from RefSeq and is a predicted model, not a curated record. NCBI's taxonomy places the organism in Eukaryota, Metazoa, Chordata, Actinopteri, Salmoniformes, Salmonidae. The transcript has 3 exons.
UCCUCAUCACUGAUAAUGUGAGAUGGAUAACAUGGACAUCUUAUAAUAAAGGGUAUAUUCACAAUAAUACUGGGACUAUUCAUUGCCUUGAAGGCAAUUCUGUUCCUCAGUAUGACACUAAAGCAAAGGCUAUUAUGACACUUUCCCUGUGAGGGAGGAACAUUUUCAUAAAUACUGGGUUGCUUUAUUCCUCUUUUGAGUAGUUCUGUUCUCUUGGCCUCAGCGUGUGCUCUGUUCUCCUGGCCUCGGCAUGGCAGAUGGAUAGGUGUGCUCUGUUCUCCUGGCCUCGGCAUGGCAGAUGGAUAGGUGUGCUCUGUUCUCCUGGCCUCGGCAUGGCAGAUGGAUAGGUGUGCUCUGUUCUCCUGGCCUCGGCAUGGCAGAUGGAUAGGUGUGCUCUGUUCUCCUGGCCUCGGCAUGGCAGAUGGAUAGGUGUGCUCUGUUCUCCUGGCCUCGGCAUGGCAGAUGGAUAGGUAUGCUCUGUUCUCCUGGCCUCGGCAUGGC